RNAcentral lists this ribosomal RNA (253 nucleotides) under uncultured bacterium. RNAcentral describes it as "partial 16S ribosomal RNA". It matches the Rfam family "Bacterial small subunit ribosomal RNA", at positions 524 to 776 of the family's 1533-position model. The record is from RNAcentral.
UACGUAGGGUGCGAGCGUUAAUCGGAAUUACUGGGCGUAAAGCGUGCGCAGGCGGUUUUGUAAGCCAGAUGUGAAAUCCCCGGGCUUAACCUGGGAAUGGCGUUUGAAACUACGGAGCUGGAGUGUGGCAGAGGGAGGUAGAAUUCCACGUGUAGCGGUGAAAUGCGUAGAUAUGUGGAGGAAUACCGAUGGCGAAGGCAGCCUCCUGGGCCAACACUGACGCUCAUGCACGAAAGCGUGGGGAGCAAACAGG